This 2651-nucleotide ribosomal RNA is filed under the name Triticum aestivum (bread wheat). RNAcentral describes it as "partial small subunit ribosomal RNA". The record is from RNAcentral. Lineage: Eukaryota; Viridiplantae; Streptophyta; Magnoliopsida; Poales; Poaceae.
GUCACCCCUCUCUCUGUCUCACUGGUUUUCUCCACUCCCCCCAACCUUCAUGUCACCCCCCUACUCCUUGACCAAAAAUCCAUCCCCUUUCCACUUCUGGAGGCGUCGGCGAUGGCAUUCAAGCAGGUUUUCUGCGCCCUGCGAGAGGUCUUCCCGCAGGUUGAUCUUCGAAUAUUGAAGGCUGUAGCCAGUCAGUAUUCCUCUGAUGUCGAUGCAGCUGUUGGAUUUGUUCUUUCUGAUGUCAUUCCAGCAGUAAGCGAACCUACUGAAACAGUUUUUACACUCCAAGAUAUUGAUUAUGCAGAACACGACCAUACUGAUUCCAGGAAGUCUAACUUGCACUUUGGAGGGAUAUCAUUGGUGGAUCUAGUAGGAGCUAAAGAGGAUGCCAGUGCCCUAUUCGGUACGUCAGCUGAGAGCAGUGGCACUGUUGGUGAAUGUGAUCCAUUUUCAGAUUAUGAUGGACCAUUCCAGAGUAACAACAAAGUAGAAAAAUGUUCCCAGAUCGAGGAUAAGGUGGUGAUAAAUGAAACAAGAAUUCCUACAACAGUAAUGAACAGCCUUCUCCAGGAGCAUUAUGCUCUGCUUGGAUCGUCAUCGACAUCUGCAACGGAGCCACAUAUGAUAGAGUAUGAGCAGUCUGAUUCAGGAGGAUGUAAUGAUCAUUGUGCAGCUGAAAAAGAUGAAGUGACUCCAGAGACUGAAAUAGGCAACCACAAGCAUUAUAAUGAUAAUUAUGAGCUAUCAGAUUUGCUUGCCUCUUCUGGGAAUAUGUUGCCAUUAUUUAUGGAGAGCCCUUCAGAUUGUGCAGUGAAACAUGGAGGGCAAGUGCCUCUGAAACUUUCUCAUGAGGCAAGUAAACAUGAUUUCGCCAAGUCAGGAGAUAACUGUUACUUGGAAACCUUACUUGCGAAUUUUCACUCAAAGGAAGACAAACAGACAUCAAAGAACUUGCCAAAUGCUCCAACUGUUCAUACGCUCUCCAACCCAAAGGAUAAGAAUGACUUACAAGUUCUGUUUGAAAACAAAGAUAAUGCUGGAGAAGAGUUGGGUGCACUCUGUACUGCAGAAAAUACCCCUGAACUCCACAAGUCAGCAAAUGAUGGCAACUUCUACAAUUUAUUUGGCGAUCUAUGCACAGUUGACGAGACAACAAAAGUACCUUUGAAUUUUACUGAGGAGAAAAAUGAGCAGCCUUUUGUUAAGCUAGACGAUCAACACAAACUAUUUGAGUUAUUUGCCUCAUCCAAAAUCGUCGAUAAUUCAUUACAAGCCUUUCAAGAAAAGGGUGGUUCCGAGACAGUUCAUAAUGAGGAGCUACCUUCAAUACAUCUCAAUUUCAAUCAUCGUGGAACAUUUACUAGUACGUGCAAUUUCGAUGGUGAUAAGCACUACUCCUUAUGCCCGAUGGUUGAGCUUGAUGCAGAUCAGCCUAAUGAAGAAUGGAUGAUGCCUGGUGCAGAUAAAAGUGAGGGAUUUCUCGAUAACUCCACUCAGUCAUUUCAUAUCACUGAAAUAAACAAGAAUAUUUCUGAUAUCACUAAAAGCAAGGAAUUAUUGAGCUGUUUGUAUGAAUCAACAAUCAUGAAGAUGGAAGAGGUUGAGCUUCAGGAGGAAAAGUCUCGACUAGCAAAACAAAAUGCUGACAAGGCACAUCAAAAUUUUCUUGCCAUGGCAGAGCACUUUAAUCAGCUCAUUGAGAAUUCCAAAGAGUCAAAUGAUAAGCAAGCUCAAGUAGUGUGCGAAGAAAAUUGUUCGUUGGUGGCUCUAACUCAGGACCUUCAGUCUAAGCUUACCAAAUUGGCUGCUCAAAGAAAUGAAGCGCUUACAGCUGUUCAGGAGAUUAAAUUUCAAUUAGAUGCACGUCUAGCAACUUCGAUGGAGGAAGAGGCUACAGCAAUGGAGCAAAUUAUCCAAGAAGAUAAAUUAGCUCUAUUGGUACGUAAAGAGAAGGAAGCUACAAUGGGGAGCAUAAUGGAGGAGUCAAGAAAGCUCCAAAAGGAAGCCGAAGAGAACAUUUUGCUGAGAGAACAAUUGUUGGACCGGGGUCACAUCAUUGAUAUCAUGCAAGGAGAAAUAUCAAGCAUCCACGCCCGUGUAAGCAAGCUUAAAUCAGCCUUGGUGACAACUAGCAGCUCAACUAAUUCUUCCGACAAGGAUGACUGUAAGAGUGCGUCAGUUGACACAGACCGGCCUUUGGGGAACGAUGAUAACAGAAAUGAUCUGCCGCAGAGGAGCCAUGCUAAGGACCAUACCACAUCUUCGGAUGAUGACGACGAUGACGACGAAUGGGAGGUGCUAGAAGCAAAUUAAGCCUAGAGUGGUUCAGUUCACUGUUCAAAUAUGUCUUGGUCAAUAAGAGGGCAGCAUCUUGGCUCACCCAAAAUUUAUGUGCCAAGCAGCAGAAUGUAGCCCCAAACUGGUACUGUUGGAAGACUGAACCUCCAAACUAUGCAGGUGUUUGGCUCUUGUGCUUUGUAAAUAUACAGAUAUGGAGAUGGACAUAUAUCAGUAUCUACUGUUGUAAUUAAACUUGGUUGUAAUCUAUCUGUCAUGUAGGAAAUUAUGUGCCUAUGUUUGUACAGAAUCAAGUGUAUACAUCAUAUAUAUUGGCAAAGAGUGUGAUUCCAAUGUAUGCAUGUUACCUUUUC